CAGUCGUACCGACGGAAAAUCAGCUUUUUGAGUGCGGACUUGUGGGUUUACGUGAGCUUUACGGCCUCGUUGUUUGCAAUGUUCGUUCUUUUUGGGUGUACUUUUUCGUAUGGUUGGCCAAUAUCAGUUUCGAUCGCUAUAAAAUGACCGGCGGAAUGUAGCUUCGAUCUCGUAUUGAAGUGUUAUAGCCUCUGGUAGAUGUGGUGAUUGGGACUGAGGAUUGCAACGAAUACCUUUCGGGGCUACCUGUCUGAUCUCUGAUCGUUGCUUUGGUGCUGAAAGCGUGCUUAUAGUUAUUAAAGUCGAUGGUCAAUAGGUUAGAAUGGGUUAAA
Molecule: ribosomal RNA, 332 nt
Filed under: uncultured Glomeromycotina
Lineage: Eukaryota; Fungi; Glomeromycota
Description: eukaryotic LSU rRNA
Source: RNAcentral